This is a long non-coding RNA of Peromyscus californicus insignis, 360 nucleotides long. RefSeq lists it as uncharacterized. The record is from RefSeq and is a predicted model, not a curated record. Lineage: Eukaryota; Metazoa; Chordata; Mammalia; Rodentia; Cricetidae. The transcript is spliced from 2 exons.
AGUUGUGAAAUGACAUUUUUUUUUCCAGUAGGUUUGUCAUAUCUCCUGCAUGGAGGAAAAUUGCAUUCUGUAAAUCUCGGUCCCACAGAACAAAACACCUAUUUCUUUCCAGUUGGGGAGACGGCCGUUCUCAUCGGCAUAAUGAAGAGGGGCGCCGGGUACCAAAUAAAAGAGAUGAAGUUGAACGACUGGCUUUAGAAAUGGAGGGAGGAGCCACGAUGAGCCACCGGAAGACGACAAAGGCCAGGAAGCCCCAGGAAGAAACCAGUCCCGCGGACACCCGAGUUCAGCCCUGCAGGACUUGUUUUGGAUUUCUGACCUCCAGAGCUGUACAAGAAUAAACUUGGCCUUUAAAGCCUC